Molecule: ribosomal RNA, 440 nt
Filed under: uncultured bacterium
Lineage: Bacteria
Description: partial 16S ribosomal RNA
Rfam family: Bacterial small subunit ribosomal RNA
Source: RNAcentral
CUACGGGAGGCACCAGUCGAGAAUCUUCCGCAAUGGGCGCAAGCCUGACGGAGCAAUGCCGCGUGAGUGAUGAAGGCCUUCGGGUUGUAAAACUCUGUCAGAGGGGACGAAAUUUGACGGUACCCUCAGAGGAAGCCACGGCUAACUACGUGCCAGCAGCCGCGGUAAUACGUAGGUGGCGAGCGUUAUUCGGAUUUACUGGGCGUAAAGGGUUCGUAGGGGGUUUGCCAAGUCUGAUGUGAAAUUCCGCGGCUCAACCGCGGACGUGCAUUGGAUACUGUCGAACUAGAGUUCCUGAUGGGAAAGCGGAAUUCCAGGUGUAGCGGUGGAAUGCGUAGAUAUCUGGAAGAACACCGGUGGCGAAGGCGGCUUUCUGGCAGGAUACUGACCCUCAUGGACGAAAGCGUGGGUAGCGAACAGGAUUAGAUACCCGAGUAGUC